RNAcentral lists this ribosomal RNA (462 nucleotides) under uncultured bacterium. Its description in RNAcentral is "bacterial SSU rRNA". It matches the Rfam family "Bacterial small subunit ribosomal RNA", at positions 28 to 507 of the family's 1533-position model. The record is from RNAcentral.
GACGAACGCUGGCGGCGUGCCUAACACAUGCAAGUCGAACGAAGAAUGUUUUCGGAAUAUUCUUAGUGGCGGACGGGUGAGUAACGCGUGAACAAUCUGCCCCGUACAAAGGGAUAGCCUCGGGAAACCGGGAUUAAAACCAUAUAACGCUUUAGUACCGCAUGGUAAUAAAGUCAAAUCGAUUAAGAGGUAUGGGAUGAGUUCGCGUCUGAUUAGCUAGUUGGUGAGGUAAGGGCUCACCAAGGCGACGAUCAGUAGCCGGCCUGAGAGGGUGAACGGCCACACUGGAACUGAGACACGGUCCAGACUCCUACGGGAGGGCAGCAGUGGGGAAUAUUGCACAAUGGAGGGAACUCUGAUGCAGCGACGCCGCGUGAGUGAAGAAGGUCUUCGGAUCGUAAAACUCUGUCCUUGGUGAAGAAAAGGACGGUAGCCAAGGAGGAAGCCCCGGCUAACUACGUG